Molecule: ribosomal RNA, 3201 nt
Filed under: Triticum aestivum (bread wheat)
Lineage: Eukaryota; Viridiplantae; Streptophyta; Magnoliopsida; Poales; Poaceae
Description: partial small subunit ribosomal RNA
Source: RNAcentral
AUGGCGCACCACGCGACCCCCUUAUACUCGACAGCUGCCGCGCUGUUGCUGAUACUGCUCCCGCUGUCCGCCGGAGCAGCACCAGCGCCAGCGCAGAUAGGGAUGCCGGGCUGCGACACCAGCUGCGGCAACUUGAGCGUGCCAUACCCGUUUGGCAUGGGCCCGUCUCGUUGCUACCACUCGCCGGGAUUCAACCUCACCUGCGACCGGUCAAGUAACCCGCCGCGGCUCCUCGUCGGCGACGGCACCCUUCAAGUCUCGGAACAGAUCAACACCGAUUUUGACUUGUUAGCCGUCGUUUACACUGACGACAUCAAAAUCGACAGUGGUGGCCACGGCAGGCUGGGCGGCGGGCUCAGCGACGACGGGCCAUACGUGCUGUCGCGGUACAAGAACCAGCUCAUCCUUUUGGGCUGCAACGUGCGCGCGACGUUGAAGAACGGCAACAUCACCAUGAGCAGCUGCUCCUCCCUGUGCCCGAACGACUACGAGGGGCUCUCGUCCGAUUCCGACGAAAGGCUGUCCAGGCCGGAUAGAAGCAUGUCCUGCUCCGGCAUUGGGUGCUGCCAGGCGCCCAUCGUCGUCUACCGCGAGGUACUGGCUGGAUCAAACGAGAUCGUCCCAAUCACGUCGUACGACGUGGAGCUAGAGUCCUUUGGGUGGAACCGCAGCGAGGCCCAGCUGUGGCCGCCGCGCGUGUUCAUCGCCGAGGAAGGCUGGCUUGCGACAUGGAGCCUCUCACACCAGCUCUCUACGCGCGGCGUGUCGAUGGAAGUUCCCAUCUGGCUCGGCUGGGAGGUCAUCGAUGACCACCAGGACGACACAGAUCAGCUGCAGCGGUCGUCCUCGCCUGCGUCGGCGUCAGAGUGUUCUAGGGAUGCGGCCAACAGUGUCUGCAAGAGCAGCAACGCGGACUGCAGAAAACACCAAAGAGGCGGCUACACGUGCUCCUGCAAGUCUGGUUACGAGGGCAAUCCCUACAUCACCAACGGAUGCCAAGACAUCGACGAGUGCAAGGAUUUAGAAUUUUACAAGUGUUAUGGUCAAUGUACCAAUAUGGAUGGUUUAUUUCAGUGCCAGUGCCCACAUGGGACCCAUGGCGACCACUCCACGCCCGGUGGUUGCUUCAGUUUGCUGGGAGGUAAUUGUAUCACAUCAUGCGGCAACUUGAGUGUGCCAUACCCGUUCGGCAUUGGGCCGCCCAAGUGCUAUAUGCCAGGUUUCAACCUCACCUGUGACACAAACCACCAACCUGCGCGACUGAUGCUUGGCACACUUCGAGUUGUUGACUUCUCUCUCCGCAACAACACGAUGCGAGUUAUCAAUGCUGACCGAGUCAAUAAUUUCUUUAUCGGUGAAAGCAUUCACGACAUCAUUUAUGAGAUGGGUUAUGGAGAGGUGGUGCCCUACUCGUUGUCAACCAUCGAUGAAUUUAUCCUCAUCGGAUGUGGCGUGCAGGCGGUGUUGUCCAACACUGAAAACAACCGGGUCAUCCUCAGUAAUUGCUCCUCCUUCUGCCCGUCAAACAAGAGCGGAAGCUACAAUGCCACAACAGCUGCUAGUUUCGGUGACAGCGAGUACUGCUACGGCAUGGGUUGCUGCCAGGCACACAUAUCGAAGUCGAGGAAUGGCAUGCCCAGUGAUUUCUCGAUUGAUUGGAUAGAUCCUAACAUUGCCUCCGAUGGGUCAUUUCCACAGGCAUAUGCGUUCAUCGCAGAGGAAGGGUGGUUGAACAAGCGUUGGCUCUCUGCCCGGCUUCCAUUAGCGCCGUUCACAAACGAUCCAGCACCCCAACUUGAGGUUCCCAUUGUUCUAGAUUGGGAGGUCUUACAAUUGCAGCGUGGCAUCUCGCACCAGCCAACCAAUGUGAGCUCAUCGCUGCGUCAACAACAAUAUCUCAAGUGUCCUGGCAUCUGUAGCAGCAAGAAUAGCAUCUGCAAACAAAUGACCAGAGGCUAUUCAUGCCACUGUAGUGAGGGUUACGACGGCAAUCCCUACCUUGACGGAUGCAAAGGCGGUGUGCACAAAGACUUUAAAGGUAUGAGCACUGGAGCUGCUGCUGGAGCGGGGCUCGUACUUCUGUUUCUUAUUGGAUUUUUCAUUGCUAAGAAACUAAAACAGCGGAGGGCUCAAAUGUUAAAAUGUAAGUUCUUCCACCAAAAUCGUGGACAAUUGUUGCAACAGUUGGUACCCCAAAGUGCUGGUAUUGCAGAAAGGAUGAUCAUAACAUUGGAAGAGUUAGAGAAGGCGACCCGUCAUUUUGACAAAGAUCUCGUGGUUGGCGGAGGAGGUCAUGGUAUUGUUUACAAAGGGAUACUGUCAAACCAACAUAUUGUAGCCGUCAAGAAACCCAAGAAGGUGUUGAAGAAUGAGAUCAAUGAAUUUAUAAAUGAGGUAGCUAUCCUAUCACAAAUUAACCAUAGAAAUGUAGUAAAACUCUAUGGUUGCUGCCUUGAAACUGAAGUCCCAAUGUUGGUCUAUGAGUUCAUAUCUAAUGGGACACUUUACGAGCAUCUUCAUGUCCAAGGACCAAAAUCAUUAUCUUGGGAUGACAGGUUGCGGAUAGCCAUUGAGGCACCAAAAUCACUUGCAUAUCUUCACUCGGCUGCAUCAACACCUAUCAUUCAUAGAGACAUCAAGUCUGCUAACAUACUUUUGGAUGAUACUCUGACAGCAAAGGUAGCGGAUUUUGGAGCUUCCAGGUAUAUUCCAAUGGAUAUAUCUGGGGUUACAACAAGGGCUCAAGGUACGAGAGGGUAUUGGGAUCCUAUGAACUUUUACACAGGGCGAAUAACUGAGAAAAGUGAUGUCUAUAGCUUUGGGGUCAUCCUUGUGGAGCUGCUAACUAGAGAGAAACCAUUUUCAUAUUUAUCAUCAGAUGAAGAGAGUCUUGUUUCACAUUUUGCCAGCUUGUUUGAAAAAGGGCAACUGCUGCAUAUAUUAGAUCCACAAGUCAUGGAGGAAGGAGGGAACGAAGUUGAAGAAGUAGCAAGUAUCGCGGUAGCUUGUGUAAAGUUAAGGAGAGAGGACCGCCCAACCAUGAGACAAGUGGAGUUGACACUGGAAGGCACACAUACAUUACCGAGGCAAACUUCAGAUAAUGCAUCUCCAUCCACAAAAGUUGAAAGCAACACUAAGGGAUCGACCAGACAUUAUAGUAUGGAACUUGAGUUCCGACUAUCUGCGGAGCACCCUCGGUAG